This 1587-nucleotide long non-coding RNA is filed under the name Ananas comosus (pineapple). RNAcentral's name for it is "long non-coding RNA (ACOM_LNC044912)". The record is from RNAcentral. Lineage: Eukaryota; Viridiplantae; Streptophyta; Magnoliopsida; Poales; Bromeliaceae.
GGUGACUUAACCAGCUGGCGGCGAAAUCGUCGCACACGCCGAACACUAGUUCAAGUCCCUUGACUUGGCCAUCUGGCGGCGAACGAAUCACACCUCACCCAACAAUAGCCCAAGUCGAUCUGGCGGCAUAAUCCACAAACUGGCUUAACCAUCCGGCGGCGAAAUCGUCGCACACGCCACGACAAUGGUUCAAGCCCCGGGCGGUGAUCUCUGCACGCUCACCCCCAAUCCAUCCUUGGUAUCAACCUCGGCGGCGAAAUCGUCGCACACGCCCUAGCCUUGAUACCAAGGUUAGCAUAGCACAAGUCCUGGGAUUCCGGAAUCCACUUCCACAGGUCGAGGGUCCAUAGCCAACCCUAUGUUGUCGACCUAGAACAUCCUAGUGGUUGCUACCACUAUACUCAACAACCUAGAUUCAAUGCCACUCUAGGUUUACUAUACCACAACCUAGGUUAUAAAACUCUAGGUUUACUAGUUCAAUCUAUGUUCACUAACAAUAGGUUCAACAUCACUAUGUCCGACCUAUGUUUAUUAACACUAGGUUCGAUAUCAUUCCUGUUUAACCUAUGUUUACUAACACUAGGUUAGAUGCCACUCGAUCUAUUUGACACCCUAGUUGUCCAUCGAGUAUUCUAUGGUUUUCACGUUCUUAUUUCCAAUGUCAUGUUCUCUACGCAAUUUGGAGUUAUCAACCAAGUUCACAUGCAUAUAUAAUCUCACAAUGCUAAUCAUGCAUUAUAAUCUCACAAAUUAUUUAUAUGCAUCUACUUAGCAUUUUUACUUAUGUCAUCAACAUGCAUUUCAUUCUAUGCAUUAUGCUUACAUGCUUUCUUCGAGUUUACAUGCAUAUAUAACCUUUUAUAUGCACCUACUUUAGCAUUUACAUAUCAUUAUUAUCAUGCUUUACAUUAUUAUCAUGCAUUACUAGUAUUAUGUAAAUUGCUCAUUAUACAUUUCUACUUAGCAUUUACAUUAACAUGCAUAAUUAUCAUACAUUACACCAUUAUCACGCAUUAUUUCACACUUAUAUGCAUCAACACAAAAUCUUAACUUGCUUAGACAUAAAGGCGACCUAGUCGCUUCGGUAAGCACAACCUACCUCGAUUCGCGUUCCGAUUGCUUGUCGACACUUGCAAUCGGCCUCCCGCGGCAUCGGGCGCCCGGUUCCGUCGGAACUUGUAGUUGCGCACCAACCGCGCAUCGCUUCGCAGCCCCGGGUAAAAAGGGUCUUCGUUUUGCUGUUACGAUGCUUCAAAUCCGUUUCCAGGAUUUUACGACGUCGCCUCGGCCCUCCAGGCGGAAACGAAGCCUAACGUCCGUUUCUUUAAUAACUUCGCAACGGCUCGUCGGAUUGCCGAACCGUCUUCGCCAGCGCGUUCGUUUCCCUAGCAAUUAGGUUUACAGAGGGUUAAAUUAGAUCAAACCCUCAUAUUUCCAAAUAUUGCAUUUCUAACCCUAGGUUUUCAAUUAUGUACGAAAUCACCAAAUUGAUCCUAGAUUCUAGCAUUUAUCCUCUAUUUAGCAUGCUAGGAUUCCAAAUAAACCAUUUCUAGAGCAUAUAAUUGAAGCUCUACAAUUCUACCAUUA